RNAcentral lists this long non-coding RNA (1428 nucleotides) under Marmota monax (woodchuck). Lineage: Eukaryota; Metazoa; Chordata; Mammalia; Rodentia; Sciuridae. The record is from RNAcentral.
UUUGAAUCAGAUGGGGUAUAAUUUUUCAUUUUUCUGAGUGUACAGGUUGCAGAAUCACAUUGGUCAUGCAGUCAAAUAUAUAUAUAUAUACAGCAAUAAUAAAUAAUUUUUUAAAAAAAUAUUUUUUAAUUGUACAUGAGUGCAGUAUCUUUAUUUUCUUUAUUUACUUUUAUGUGGUGCUGAGGAUUGAACCAAGUGCCUCACACAUGAAGGCGAGCACUUUAUGCUGAGCCAAACACCAGACACCAAGAAUUUUUUAUACAAGGAAAAAUUAGCCCUUUUUCUUUGAUAUGAGUUACAAUUAUUUUUUCCAGCUUGCCAUUUAUAUUUUCCUGUGGUGACUCAGUAUGCAAAGUAAUUCUAUAUAUUCUUUAUUGAUAUUUUCAUUAGUGCCCUCUAAAUUUUGUGGUAUAGUUUGACAUUCCCUACUUCAUGUUCCAUGGUUGCUGCAGAUUUUAUUGUUGCUAUAAUAUUUUCAUUAUUUUGUAACUAUUCAUUACUUUUAAAAUUUUAAAAUGUUGAUAAUAUUUGCAUUAUUAUGUAAAUAUGAAGUACAUUUAGAACCUGUCUUAACAUAUCAAAAUAUGUUUUCAACUUUACAUCAUUAAGAUGAUUACCUGAUUGUCCCAAUCCCAUUCAUUGAAUAACCCCUCCCUUAUUACUACUUUGACAUACAGUCUUUAUUAUGUACUAAAUUAUCAUACGCACUCAUGGAGAUUUUUGUUCCAUUGACUAGUUUUUCCUGUACAUGGCUCAGUACUACACUGUCGUACUUAUUCAGACAUUAUUCAAUGUCGUCAUUGCCUUCGUUGCUCUCCUUUUUUAGAAGUAGUUGAGGUUCAUUUUCUGUUAUUUCCUUUACCUGUUAGUUUUUGCUUCCAAAAACACUGUUGAUGAUUUUUACAAAUUGUGUUGCCCACCACCUGUCUCAACUGUCUCCUUGUCUGUAUGGGUGUUUCAGUUGAUGUGUGGGGUGUUCAGGAGUCCCAUGUCCUCCCCUGCCAUUCUCUCUACACCUGUUUCACUAGGCCUCAGGCCACUCUUCCUCUGCAACCACAUUAACAAGAUCAGCAACCACUCCACAUUGCUUAGGCAAGGGUCAACUUCACAACCUCUCAGAUACUACUGACACUGAUUUUGGAACUCCACAUUCUCCAGUCCUCCUUCCCCAAUAGCUGUUCCUUUUCAGUCUAUUUUGCUGAAUCCAACUUUUCUCAGGACUUCUAACAAAUGGAGACUCCAAUGGUAGAUACUGAGAACAAGCUCCAAAGGCCAUGCAUAGUCUUUUGUAGUUCCGGGGGGUACUGGGGAUUGAACUCAGGGGCACUCAAUCAUUGAGUCAUAUCCCCAGCCUUAUUUUGUAUUUUAUUUAGAGACAGGUUCUCACUGAGUUGCUUAGCAUCUCACUUUUGCUGAGGCUGGCUUUGA